Long non-coding RNA from Gasterosteus aculeatus aculeatus (three-spined stickleback), 4460 nucleotides. The record is from Ensembl. NCBI's taxonomy places the organism in Eukaryota, Metazoa, Chordata, Actinopteri, Perciformes, Gasterosteidae.
UUUGCAUCAAUCAGCUGGUAACAUGUUCAGUGAUUUGUAUUAUUGAACUCAAAUAACAUAAUUUCAUUGACUGAGGACCGAGCUGUUAUCUGUAAUGAGCAGGUAUUAGUGGACCUUUGUGUGUGUGUGUGUGUGUGUGUGUGUGUGAAAAUCACAGAGACUACAGGAAGAGAGAAACUCUCCCCCUUCCCUCCCCCUCUGCUCCUCAAACACACACCCGCAGCACGGAAGCAGCGCGGCCGCUCCGGAAAAAGCACACAAACAAAAGUGAAGAGGAAGCUCGCGGCAUCGUAAGCAGGACGCCGAUAGAUUUCCUUCAGAGACAGCAAGUCAGCGCCGGGAAGCAGCGCAGUGGCUGGUGCUCGUAUGCAGCGUGUGUGUUGAGCCCCUAUUGAGGUACUGACAGUGAUACUGAGGGUGGGACUGUUGCAAACACACGAGCUGAGAGCCACGAAUGGCCCCGAACUCGCCCCGAUGACCUGCUUCUCAGGCGAUGGAAACAACGCGCCUGGUUCCAGUGAGAUGGAUUCGCCGACAGACCUGGACUCCACGUGCUUGGGAACAGCAGGAAACAGUUUGAGGAUUUCUCCCUGUGAUCUUAGCAGCGUAAUAUGCUGAGCGCGCAGAGAGGAAAGAGGAAUCUUAAAAUCCGUCUGUGUUUAAUGAGCUGGUGAUGCUUUUAACGUGAGAUACAACGUUCUGUUUUAGUGAAUGCUGUCAAGGGUGCAAUUUUUAAAUACAACAGUUACAUUUUGUGAUGAUAAACAACUAAAAGCUUCAGCGUUUCUCAUCAGGAAACACAUUUUUCCUUAUUAUAUUUAUUUGCAUUUGUGCUUUGCUCUUAUUGCUUGUUUUUGCUCGUACAAAAAUUAUGCAAAGCUUGAAAACCAACGACGUAUGAGUAAUUACUCGGAUACAGCCUCUCAAAGGGACAGUCUGGAGCUAAUAAACUUUGUAAUAAUGGCCUAAAAGCAAUAUUUAAUAACUGUUUACUGCAAGAAUGCACACACCCUGCACCGCAUUAGAAAAUUCAUAAUUGCAUGCAUGGAAUGUAUUCAAGUUAAAACUACUUAAACAAAAGUAAAACUUCAAAACACACUGCAACUUUAGACCGAGUAACAGUUCACACUAUAUUUGAGAUGGAACUUGGCUCUAAACGAUUUGAGGACGUUUAAUGGAAACGUGUGUGCCAAUGACACCACUAAGAGUUCUUUGAACGCUUUCCUGGUUUGUUCAAUUAUUUUAUUGUAUAGGACCUCCUUUUCACCGUGGAAUUACAUGGGUCAUGUCCUGGUGGUCAUCCCUACCCUUAAAAUAAAGGAAUGGCUUACUCUGAGUACCAGAUCCAUGUGAUUCACGGCUGUAUUUGGUGAAUAGACGUUCAUAAUACGCCGUUAGCGUGAGACCAAAAAAACGCAACAUGUGAGUCGAAAUGUUAUAUUAGAAAUAAUUAAAUACGUUUUUUAUUUUGAUCUUUUACUUUCUAUUGUUUCCUUUUACAGUAUGUUUUUAACUGUAAUGAACACAUAUACAGAGACAACCUUUUAAGUAAAAUCUUAAAAUUGGCAACAUGAGAGAAAAAAACAGAGAGUUUGUCUUGAUGUUUAAAGGAGGAAUGUUUUUGGCCUCGUCCCUUUUCAGUGCUGCAGCCCCUCGUACUCUGAGCACCUUGACAGUUUAAGGCAAACGACUCCCACCGUCGGGUUCUGAGAUUAACUCUGACAGCCACACUGAGGGCAUUUCUCUCCUUGAGGAGGUUUUGCUGACAUCGUUGGUGGCUUUUGCAGAUUCGAUUUUUAAGGAAAAAAACGACAUAAAUAUAAUAAAAAAACUGUCAACACGUUUCACCAGUUAUUUCUCAUAUAUGUUAUUUUGGCAAGCCAAAGGCACAAACAAUGACAGGAUGAAUAUAUAGACCGAUAAUUCCCUUAUUAUACCCUAUAAGCCACAUUUGUAAUUAUGAAGUUAAUCACCUACAGUACGUGUUCGUAUACCAACAGUAGUAUGAAUACCAACAGCUGUUGCUAUUACUCACAACUAUUAAGUAGACUUGGGAAAAAAUGACCAAUCCACGCUGUUAGGCCCCAAUACUUCUUUAAUGUGUUUUAAUAACUGUACAUUUUCACUCGUCCUUGAGAGCAGUUUCCUCCGAUGACAGAAUUGAGGUUGUUUUUAGCGUCAGAAGUGUGAUGAGGAGCUGGACACAUCCAACCCACCAGACUUUGGGCAGAUAAACAUUGAAGAGACAAAUAGUAUGUCGUUGACCUUUAUAAGCUGAGGUCACAGUAUUAAAUCCUUUGAGCCAUUUCUCAUUUUAUGAGAAGCACACUGCAGCUUCUACAACUGGUAAAUUAUUUAUUUUAUUUAAAGUAUUUCCUAAUCAUGAGUGACACUUGAUCUUGUGCGCAUGAAGCACUUGUUCCAUAACGGAAACGAUGCCUUCACAAAAACGAGACCGGAAUGCUUGAAACUAGUCGCAGUUUGAGAUGGAAAACAACCUUCUUUUUUGCCAGUGUUGGUUUUUAAUGAAGGAUUCACAUAAAAUCAGCCAUAGUAAAUGGAGAGUGUUUUUUGAGUGCAGCCUCUUCAUUGUCUGGGACUGUUUACUGCAUCUGUCGGCCUUCUGUCGGCUUUGCUUUCCAAUCUCUGUGAUUUUUCUGUGCAUGAAAAAGAGGCUCAUCCGUCCUGUUCCUCUCUCCCACUAUUCAUUCCCACCAAACGACUGAACAACUGCUUUAAGAUGCUCCUCCGACUGCUAAUCAUCCCCUGCCGUUUUUAAAACACCUCCACCGAGCUAAAUACCAUUCGGUUCAGCGCAUCACGAUCGACUCGGCGAGAUAGUCGACUGACUUUCCACUCUUCCAUUUAUCUCUCCUUGCUUGGCACAACAGUCAAUACGGACUCAGCUGGCCCAAGCGGAACGGAUUUCAAACCAAACAGAAUCACUGAACCUAUUAGCCCAGAUCUUGUCACAGAAACACGCCCCCAACCAUCAAAGGGGAGGAGUCACAGCUGGUUCGUUGGUUCAAAGUACCAGUCGCAGCAGUGAGGCCCAUUCUGCUAUAAUGUGUCUACCUGUGUCGCUAUUCAUGUCGUAAUAUGGUUCUUUUGGUAUGUUUUAUGUUCAGUGAAGGUUACAGACUGUCAGAUGGCAUCAGCGGUUUCUCCUUUUUUCUCCGUUUUUACGGGCUCCUCCCUUAUGCGCCAUUUCCUCCUCUACAUCCUUGCCUCUGUUUCCUCCUUUCUCCAAACAGUGUUUGGAGAGUACAAAUAUUUUGGUGUCAAUCAGGGAAAACGUGGUCUACCUCUUGCUAUAAUUGUCUUUUGAGUAACAAUUCAUUAGACUUGCAUGAAGACUUCACAAGGCGUCCUUGAGGAAUCCGGGGGCGGUUUACGCUUGAAAAGUUGCUGUCGUGUGCCUGAUGUAACUUGAGUGAAGUCUUACAAGACGGAGGUGAGGCAGCCCUGCUUUUGUGACAGUCGAAACUCUGUAUGAAUAUGUAUGAAUAUAAGCAUAAUACACACAGAGGUGGAAAAUAAAGCCUUGAAAUGAAAGUACUUCAGUAACAGAAUGAGAGAUGUUAUCCCACAGAGGGCAGAUGAUGGUGGGCCACUGGGCUAAUCACUGAUUCUUCAUGAUAUGUAAAUGUCCUCUCUUGUUCCUUAGUAACCAAGGAGCAACACGUCCUUCAGUGCUCGUAUGCACUUUCUCUCUGUAUUUACUUAUUUUCCAAAUAAUAUUACUGUUUAAACUGAAUUUUGAGAUUAAUCUGGGACAAUCCACCCGAGAUGAACUGUCAGAGGUGCUCGCCAAAGCUCUCGCAAACGACUACAGACAAAGCAUCAUUUAUCGCUUCCAGGAGUGGAGUCACCAUGGAUACGGGUCUUCCACCUGUCAUGCUGUUCGCACCGUUGGAUGGAUUAAGAAGGAAACAAACCUCCCUCCCUUUUUGGAAUACAUGCUUCUCAACUUGCGGGUGAAAGAUUGUUACAAUAUUCUUCCCCCAAAUGAGGUUAUGGAGGAAAUUAAGCACGAUGACCAUAAACGAUCCAGCCGUAGGGGUCCACCUGCUCUUGUUAUUCGAUGCAUUCGUCUUCCCUGUGUGCGUACAGUGCAUUAGCCAGGGAGUAUGUGUGACUUUUUACAGCUCCUCUGGAUCCACAAAAGGCUUUCACACAACUUGUUUUAUAUGCAUAUAUAUAUGUACAUAUAUACAAAUAUUCAUGCAGAAGUACUCCCAAAGAUCUGAAAAGUUACUACUACGUGAAAAAUAAGUUGCAUAAAGAAUCCCUCCCAAAUGUCAGAAGGCUUCUAGACAUUAAAGUAGAACACCUACUGGCAUGGAAUUGAACAGCCUCAGGUAUCAUCAUUCUAUACAUCUCAUUUUUGAGUUUCUCAUCCAAUGUUGUAAGUUCCUUUUCUGUCUUUUUCAUUUUUUAAUCUCAAACGUGUCAUUUUC